CAGUCGCCGCGGUAAUACGUAGGUGGCAAGCGUUGUCCGGAAUUAUUGGGCGUAAAGCGCGCGCAGGCGGAUAGGUCAGUCUGUCUUAAAAGUUCGGGGCUUAACCCCGUGAUGGGAUGGAAACUGCCAAUCUAGAGUAUCGGAGAGGAAAGUGGAAUUCCUAGUGUAGCGGUGAAAUGCGUAGAUAUUAGGAAGAACACCAGUGGCGAAGGCGACUUUCUGGACGAAAACUGACGCUGAGGCGCGAAAGCCAGGGGAGCGAACGGGAUUAGAUACCCCCGUAGUCCCUGUCUCUUAUACA
Molecule: ribosomal RNA, 301 nt
Filed under: uncultured bacterium
Lineage: Bacteria
Description: partial 16S ribosomal RNA
Rfam family: Bacterial small subunit ribosomal RNA
Source: RNAcentral